Molecule: long non-coding RNA, 1380 nt
Organism: Mus musculus (house mouse)
Lineage: Eukaryota; Metazoa; Chordata; Mammalia; Rodentia; Muridae
Product: predicted gene, 34667
Exons: 2
Source: RefSeq, a predicted model, not a curated record
AGCUGCGAGUAGAGAACACAAAAGACCCAGGGAAGGUUGAGCCUGAGCCUACCUUCUGCAAGAGUGAACUGUGGGCAGGACAGGAAUUGGGUAAUCACAGACACACUUUCCUGACACUCGGGUGACUACCAGUUGGUGGUCAUCAGCCAGCCAGCCUCUGCUGGUGACUCUGGACAGUGAGAGACCUGAGAAAGGAGCUGGAUCCAGCAGCAAGCAGUUGUGCGGUAUUAGCUGGACAGCAACCGGCAGGUAUUGGCUGGUCCUGGAGUCCCUCACUGGGUAGAGGCUGUUCUGCUGUCUCCUGUUCCCAGAUCUGCAGUGAUCUUUUACAGGUUGGAAUUGCAAGUGGGCUGAAUGACCACACGUGUUUCCUGGGCUCUGGGUAUCUCAACUCAAGCGCCCAUGCUUUCAAGACAUGUGCUGUAACCAAGGAGUGACCUCUCCAGCCUGAGUCGCCUUCCUCACAGAACGGCUAUGCUUAUGAAGAAGAUCCCUGUCUACAGAACUAUCAUCUGAUGACUAUAGAAACAUGAAAAGCCCAUCGCGGUUCCGAUAGAAGAUCCCCUUCCUACCAUCCACUCGCUCUUACAGAUAGGUCUGUUCGUGAGCCCUGGGCACUGGCCACUGGGCGGCUGUGUCUGCUCACACAGCCUUUAUAGGACCUCACAGAAUUGGAAUCAUAAAGACGGUGGUAUUUUCUGUCCGGCUGCUUGUUCUCUGAAUACUGAUGGUGAACUUUACUGUUACAUGCAUUCAGGCUGAGUUCAUGCUCCUUUUUCAGACAGACUGAUGUCUGGGAUACUCCAUGAUGAUUUUAUCUGCAAUGUGUGUGGCAAACAUGUCAGUCCUUUCUAGUUUUUGCUAGUUUUAAAGGGGGUUGCUGUGAAGAGUCAUGUGACAGUCUUUGUGGGGACAUAGGUAAGAACCCAGGAGUAAGAUUGGUGGGUACACAGUAACUGCCAGAGAAAGAACAGACCCACUGAACUGCCUCCGUGGCCUUGCGUUUCUCCUGCACUGGACGGGGCUGCACUGGACGGGGCUCCCAGAUGUCCACAUGGACGAUUAGUGUUGCUCUUUUGCAUGAUCAGAAAUGAGCCUAUGGUCCUCUUGGGGACUUGAUCUGACGUUUCCAAUGAACAAUGAUGGUUGGCAACUUGUCAUAUGCUUCCUGGCCACCUGCUCAAUUUCUGGGAUGCUUCUUUUCAAAUGUUUAGUCUAGGGAUUUUGUUUUGGGGAUGUUGCUGUUGUUGUAGUUUGUUUCUGUGGGGGUUUUUUGGUCAAACAAUGAGAUUGUCCUUCAGUUGAACUAUAACAUUUGUUUAUAAAUUUUAGAUACGAGUCUAUAUUUUUCAAAGAUAUGUUUACAAACACCUUUUCUAA